AACAUGAUGUUAAUGAUGCAUGAUGUAAAACAUGAUGUAAAAAACUUGUGUAGAUCCUCCUCUAUGUUAGUCCAUGUGUAAUUUUUCCAUAAUUCUUUGUUUUUUGCAGCAUUUUUGUUAGUGUAACUGCAGAUUGUGCUGACAGUGUCUAUGGCAAAAAAAAAAAAAAAAAUUAAAAUGCCUCAACAUGAACCCCUGGUGGUCUCUGAGGGUGAAACCUGCUAACUGCUGCAGCUCUGUCAGCUUCAGUCUCCCAUGCAGAGCUCGGAGCGCAUGUGUGGCUCUGCACCCUUAGCAGCGUUGCUAACUCCUCAGUAAGGAAAGCCUGCUUCAUGUCAGAGUCUCUAAACUCCAGAAGAAGUCGAUAAAAGUCACUUUCUUUCUAAAAAAAAAGUCAUUAGGGGGUCUGAAAAGUCAUUGAAUCUAACAACAAAGUCGCUAGGUUUGCAACUACGUGUCCCAGACUGCAUCCCUGCUGAGAGUCCCUCCCUCCCUCCCUUCUCAUAUUGCAGGAAGAACGUAAGCGCCCGCCCCUUGUCAAUCAGUCACCAUAUAAUUUUGGAUUGGUUGUUGUGGUGAAGUUUUCCACCAAUAGGAGAGAUGUUGUGGUGUGUUUUUUUUUUCCUUUGGCAAGCCUUUUCCGCCUGUAAGACCUGUCGCUAAUGUCUGCAUGCUAUGUUUUCCUGUCUCAUACAGCGCGAUCAGCGCAGAACGUGAUCAAAAUAAGCAGAAAAAAAGUAUCACGGACAUAAUUUAUCAUAACUCUGGUUUUAUUUGGCCUAUCAACACAAUUUAAAAACUGGUAUAUAGGUUGAGGUCCUCACUUUUGAGAUAAGUUGAAACGGAGAGUCAACGAGGCUCCGUCUUGCAGCUACAUCCGUUUAAAUAUGUCAUGUGACUUGAACGCACACACACACACACACACACACACAGACACACACACACAAGCACACACACACACUCAGAGUCUGGUUUUUAGCACCUGCAAAAACAUGCUAUUUACAUAUUUGACAAGAAUGCAGAGGCUCCUUUUGCCCCUGAAAAAAAUCAAAUUUCAAACACAACUUGACUGGUCAUUUCUCCAAAAGACAACCAUGAAGCUCCAUCCAAACCUGAAGCAGGCAGUUGGUGCAUGUGUACAGUAACCUGAGGGGAGUGAGGUGACUGCUUCUGAGGAGAACAUGAGCAGUGAAGAUUCACCUUAGAGCUAGAACAGAGACGUGCACAUGAUUAUACAGGGGCAGGGGCUCAAGUUUUUUCCAGUUGUUUAUACAAUAUGGAAAUUAAUGUGAAAUUAAAAAACAAAGUAUUAAUAGAAAGGUAAUGACUGUCCUGUGUAGGUGACAGUGAUAUCGAAUAGGCUAGGCACUCACGAGGCUGGCUGUGGCAAGUGUAAGUGAAAGCAACACGCACUGGCAGGAAGAACAGCAAACGCCGAUGAAGGAAAAGGGUCUUUGCAGUGAUGGGCGUUACCAGAGAGGGCGAUGGCCAGAGGGGGGGGGGGGGGGGCGCGACACAGCGCGGGCCCGCCAGUGCCCCAACGGGGUCCUAGUCUUAUUAUUUUUCUGCCCCUUUGAACUGGAAAAUGGCCCACUUCCCACUGGUGAAAAGUCAUGAAAUUUGGCAGGACGACCGGGCCUGGUGAAAAAUUCGAUAUUCUGAAGUCGCCCAAAAAAUCAAAUGCAAAAUGGCUCCAUAGCGCCCCCUAAGGUGAAAAAUUCACAUGAUUGAGUGUCACGCCUGUACGCUUUGUCAAAAUGACACAAAAUUUGACACACACGUGUAUCUCAAUAAGAUCUACAAAAAAGUCAGUGCGGGCGUAUCUGUCAAAUGUACGGUUAAAGGGCUAUUUCGCAUUUUUUGCCGAUCCGCACACAUUGGAAUUUCGCUAACUCCUCCGAAGGCUUUCGUUCCACCGGCACCAAAUUUGCUCAGGCCAAUCUACACCCCAUGGCCAUUAAAAGUUGUACAAAUCAUGACGCUGCAUCCCACGGUUUACGUUCUAGGGGGCGCCAAAGAUAACCCAGAAAUCCACAUUCUUAAAAGUCGUAUAACUUUUUAUUUUUGUCCUCACUGGCCUCCAAGUUUUCUAGGAUGAUGCAAUGUCCAGCCAUCAACACAUUUGUGAAGGAAUUUUUACUCCCCAAAAGAGCGCCCCCCCAUGGCAGGAGAAAAAAGUCCAUUUUUUCUUGUCUCCUAAGGCGAAAAUUCACACUAUUGACUGUCACGCCUUUACGCUUUGUCAUAUUGACACAAAAAUUGACACACACAUGUAUCUCAAUAAGAUCUACAAAAAAGUCAGUGCGGGCGUAUCUGUCAAAUGUACGGUGAAAGGGCUAUUUCGCAUUUUUUGCCGAUCCGCACACAUUGGAAUUUCGCUAACUCCUCCGAAGGCUUUCGUUCCAAAGGCACCACAUUUGCUGAGGCCAAUCUACACCCCAUGGCCAUUAAAAGUUGUACAAAUCAUGACACUGCACCCCACGGUUUACGUUCUAGGGGGCGCCAAAGAUAACCCAAAAAUCCACAGUCUUAAAAGUCUUAUAACUUUUUAUUUUUGUCCUCACUGGCCUCCAAGUUCUCUAGGAUGAUGCAAUGUCCAGCCAUCAACACAUUUGUGAAGGAAUUUUUACUCGCCAAAAGAGCGCCCCCCCCAUGGCAGGAGAAAAAAGUCCAUUUUUUCUUGUCUCCUAAGGCGAAAAUACACAUUGUUGACUGUCACGCCUUUACGCUUUGUCAAAAUGACACAAAAUUUGACACACACAUGUAUAUCAAUAAGAUCUACAAAAAAGUCAGUGCGGAAGUAUCUGUCAAAUGUACGGUUAAAGGGUUAUUUCGCAUUUUUUGCCGAUCCGCACACAUUGGAAUUUCGCUAACUCCUCCUAAAUCUUUUGUCCCAUCGGCUUCAAAUUUGCUCAGGUCAAUCUACACCCCAUGGCCAUUCAAAAUUGUACAAAUCAUGACGCUGCACCCCACAGUUUACGUUCUAGGGGGCGCCAAAGAGGACCCAAAUAUCCACAUUUUUAAAAGUCUUAUAACUUUUUAUUUUUGUCCUCACUGGCCUCCAAGUUU
This 3069-nucleotide long non-coding RNA is filed under the name Xyrichtys novacula (pearly razorfish). The record is from RNAcentral. Lineage: Eukaryota; Metazoa; Chordata; Actinopteri; Labriformes; Labridae.